This 2467-nucleotide long non-coding RNA is filed under the name Dasypus novemcinctus (nine-banded armadillo). RNAcentral's name for it is "lncRNA (ENSDNOG00000052296.1)". Lineage: Eukaryota; Metazoa; Chordata; Mammalia; Cingulata; Dasypodidae. The record is from RNAcentral.
UGGGAUUAAAGAGCAGCAGUAACACCGGACAGAGUGGAAGUGAUGGCUUUGGUCCGGGGAGACCGGGGCCAGUGGGGGAAGGACGUCAGGGAGUGGAAAAGGGAUUGGGGAAAGAAGGAGUACUGAGACCUAAGAAUCCUGCCCCAACCAAAAAUGUACAGGAGAGAAAUGAAGACGAGAAGCCGCCCGGCUUCCUCCCAACUGGAAGAAAUUUUCGAAGGAGAGUCGGGGCUCGCCGCCGCCGCUGCCUUAUGCCUCGCUGCCUUUUCCUGGUGCCGACUCCACGCACUGCCUCGUCCUCACAAGAGACCACUGAACGGGUGUCGGGGAAAAUACUCUUCAGAACCAGGCCUGAUUGCUUCAACGAGUCCGACCUUUACGGCUGAAAGAGAGACUAUCAGCUUUCGGUGGGUUCCACAGCCAGACGGGCCACCAUCUUACAUUAGGGUAAGACUCCUCCGGCCUUCCGUGCGCAGGCGCACGCCGAUCGGGCCGGGAGGGACGGGGGAGGGGCGGGAGGAGCGGCUGGCGACCGAGUGGGAGGUUGCGGCAGCCGCGUCCGCGGCACCCUGGGAGUUGUAGUACUCAGAGGUCAACCGUCCAGCUGCAAGCCGGGAGUUGAAGUUCUAACUCCGAGGGCUGACGGGAUCGCCCACCUCACGUGGCUGUUAGAGUGCUGGCUAUCUUCGUGUUUUGCUCCUGUCUCUGUCCGCCUGGGCUGCUCAACUGUCAUUUGGUCGGCGGAAUUCGUUAGUUGUUCCGUUUCCUUGCUAUUUGCUGAAAUAUGGGAUACAAAACUUGGGCAAAUGUGGGGAGGGGAAAGCCGAGACCAUCUCUACUCUGCCCCGCCUAUCACAGAUCUGAAGGAGGCGGGGUCUAGAGACAGGUAUUGGAUAGGAGGAGCGCGGGAUUUGAUCUACGGUGAGAUUUGAUACUGAGUUGGCCUUCUUUGCGGAAAGUCAGCGUUUACUCGUUUCCCCAUCUUUGCGCUAUUUGGAGAAACUGUUCUGUAGCAGUAACCACCCUAAAUCCCAUCCUCACCGUAAAUCUGCAGGAAGAAAAGACCCUAAAUUGUCCUAGGCACGUUGUACACAAGACCUAAAGACUCAUGCAUGUACAAAAAUAUGUUUCUAAUGAUGUAAAUUUGAGAUUAUUAUGCAGACUUCGGUGCAAAUUAUUGCUAGUUCGAUAUCCUCCCCUGCACGGCUUUGAGUCAAGUUCGCAAACUCCUCACACAUCAACACAUCCCAAAGAAGGUAAGAAUGCAGACGCAAUUCCUAGGAGAGCCGGGGUUUCCCUCAGUCGCCAAAAUCAGUCAAUUUACUGGUCUUUCCUGCUUCCCUCCUAGAAUUCUGGUGGAAGUGGCACUCGAAGCAGUCAUUUUUGGCUUAUUGCGUGUAUUCUUCAGCUAUUCAUACAAGUGCUCUCUGAGCUCCACCUGUGUGCCCCGCAUUGUUCUAGAUAGUAGGAAUACAACAGUGAGCAAAACGGUUGAAAUUCACUGUCCCCAUUCUAGCAUGUUUGUUGAGGAGAGAGAAAAGGAGACAAAUGAAAUUUUAAAUUAUGGGAUUAAGAAUCUAUAGUAUGUCAGAACUAUUAAGGGCAAACUUUAAAACAGGAAAGAGGAGUAGGGAAAGAGGUUGCAAUUUUAAGUGUGAACUUAGUCUGACUUUAUUUUUAAUACAAAUUAGUCCUUUGUGUUUCCAUUUUUUUCACUACGAAGCCUAGACAAUAAUUAUUUAGUUGGAAAAUGUGUAGUUAUAAAAUGUAUAAACUCAAAUUUUACCAAAAAUUUGAAAUUAUAGAAUCAUGGAAUGAUUACUUAACAAGGAAACUUGGGAAAUGAUUUGGACUCACUUUCAGGUAGCUAACUGCCUAAAUAUUCAGUAUAGAUUAUGUGUGUUUUUUAAUGUGUUUAUUUUUCUUGUAGGUGACCGAUUUCAUAGUGUAAUAAAAACAAAGAAAUGAAAAGAAUGAAAUUGAAUGAAUCCUCUCUAUUAUUGCAGAUUAGAACCACAGCAGUAAGAACUGGAAGGAAUUUUAAGCAUCAUCUAAUCCAGUGGUUUAUAACCUUACCUUACCAACACCCUUUCAAAUAUAACAAAUACUGUCAUACUACCCUUUAUUAUACUAAAAUGAAAUUUAUAGAAAAUAUAACCUACCUACAAACAUACAAGAUUUUAAGUCAAAAUAAUAUCCUAUUUAUAAUAUAAAAAAGUUCAAAGAAAAUAAUUUAUAAUAAGGUGGUUUGUAUGUCAAUAUAUAAAUGCUCAGGCAUGACUAUGCUAGAAAAUAUAAUGAAGUCAUCCUUUGCUUGCACUUAUAAAAUAAAAUUCUCAUAAAUGUGAUAGCUACAAAUACCAACUGACACAGAUGUGGUGUUUGGCCACCUCUGGUGGACAACAUUCAUCUUUCUUCACUGUUCAUAGUAGAUUCAUUCCUAAAAGCUUCACUGUAUAUUAUAACC